CAGAGUUCAGGCCCUCACGGGCAGAUCUCCCACCCCUGUGUAUUCAUACCUUUGUUGCUUUGGCGGGCCGCCAGGUCACUGGCCACCGGCCCUGGAGCUGGUGCGCGCCCGCCAGAGGACCCACAAACUCUGGUUAUUUGUGUCGUCUGAGUACUAUACAAUCGUUA
RNAcentral lists this unclassified non-coding RNA (167 nucleotides) under uncultured Scytalidium. Its description in RNAcentral is "sequence contains ITS1". Lineage: Eukaryota; Fungi; Ascomycota. The record is from RNAcentral.